CGAAAGCCUGACGGAGCAACGCCGCGUGAGGGAUGAAGGCCUCUGGGCUGUAAACCUCUUUUCUCAAGGAAGAAGAUCUGACGGUACUUGAGGAAUAAGCCACGGCUAAUUCCGUGCCAGCAGCCGCGGUAAUACGGGAGUGGCAAGCGUUAUCCGGAAUUAUUGGGCGUAAAGCGUCCGCAGGCGGCCUCGAAAGUCUGUCGUUAAAGCGUGGAGCUUAACUCCAUUUAAGCGGUGGAAACUACGAGGCUAGAGUGUGGUAGGGGCAGAGGGAAUUCCCGGUGUAGCGGUGAAAUGCGUAGAUAUCGGGAAGAACACCAGUGGCGAAGGCGCUCUGCUGGGCCAUAACUGACGCUCAUGGACGAAAGCCAGGGGAGCGAAAGGGAUUAGAUACCCCUGUAGUCCUGGCCGUAAACGAUGAACACUAGGUGUCGGGGGAAUCGACCCCCUCGGUGUCGUAGCUAACGCGUUAAGUGUUCCGCCUGGGGAGUACGCACGCAAGUGUGAAACUCAAAGGAAUUGACGGGGGCCCGCACAAGCGGUGGAGUAUGUGGUUUAAUUCGAUGCAACGCGAAGAACCUUACCAGGGCUUGACAUCCUGCGAAUCCCUUGGAAACUAGGGAGUGCCUUCGGGAGCGCAGAGACAGGUGGUGCAUGGCUGUCGUCAGCUCGUGUCGUGAGAUGUUGGGUUAAGUCCCGCAACGAGCGCAACCCACGUCUUUAGUUGCCAGCAUUAAGUUGGGCACUCUAGAGAGACCGCCGGUGAUAAACCGGAGGAAGGUGUGGAUGACGUCAAGUCAUCAUGCCCCUUACGUCCUGGGCUACACACGUACUACAAUGCUACGGACAAAGGGCAGCAAACUCGCGAGAGCUAGCAAAUCCCAUAAACCGUGGCUCAGUUCAGAUCGUAGGCUGCAACUCGCCUACGUGAAGGAGGAAUCGCUAGUAAUCGCAGGUCAGCAUACUGCGGUGAAUACGUUCCCGGGCCUUGUACACACCGCCCGUCACACCAUGGAAGUUGGCCACGCCCGAAGUCGUUACUCCAACCCGUAAGGGAGGAGGAUGCCGAAGGUGGGGCUGAUGACUGGGGUGAAGUCGUAACAAGGUAGCCGUACCGGAAGGUGCGGCUGGAUCACCUCCUAACAGGGAUACA
This 1153-nucleotide ribosomal RNA is filed under the name uncultured cyanobacterium. RNAcentral's name for it is "bacterial SSU rRNA". It matches the Rfam family "Bacterial small subunit ribosomal RNA", at positions 376 to 1533 of the family's 1533-position model. The record is from RNAcentral. Lineage: Bacteria; Bacillati; Cyanobacteriota.